RNAcentral lists this ribosomal RNA (253 nucleotides) under uncultured bacterium. RNAcentral describes it as "partial 16S ribosomal RNA". It matches the Rfam family "Bacterial small subunit ribosomal RNA", at positions 524 to 776 of the family's 1533-position model. The record is from RNAcentral.
UACGAAGGGUGCAAGCGUUACUCGGAAUUACUGGGCGUAAAGGGUGCGUAGGCGGGUCUUUAAGUCAGGGGUGAAAUCCUGGAGCUCAACUCCAGAACUGCCUUUGAUACUGAGGAUCUUGAGUUCGGGAGAGGUGAGUGGAACUGCGAGUGUAGAGGUGAAAUUCGUAGAUAUUCGCAAGAACACCAGUGGCGAAGGCGGCUCACUGGCCCGAUACUGACGCUGAGGCACGAAAGCGUGGGGAGCAAACAGG